UAUUAUUAUUAUUAUUAUUUUUAAAAGUCCAAAUAAAGCUUAAAACCAAACCUACUAAAGAAGCGACUGUUUUUCAUUUGAAAAUGAUUCACAAUAAUAAUUCAGUAAUUAUUAAAGCUAAUCAAAAUCUGAUGAUACUUUUAAUUUAAUACUACUAAACAUUAUCACAGAUAACACUAAAUCGCUCCUCUUCCAACACGACAGUCCCCAAUUUCAAAAUAAGAAAAAUACUAAUAAAAUAAAAAUAAAAAUAAAUAAUAUAAUUAAAAAAAAGAGUUAUUUUUGUCCUUAAGAUUUUGUGGAUCUUGCUUGCUUGUUUGUUUGUUUGUUUUCUUCUUGUUGGUGCUGGUAGUGGUGUGGCUUGAAGUUGUUAGCUACGCGCCAAAGUCAACCAAAAUACGGCGUCGUGUGAAACACUACUUGAAGAUAAUAGACCCUUAUUUUCGUGGACUUUGAAACAGCUGUUUAAUCCUACACGUCACGCUCUCUCUAUCUCUUUCUUCUUCUUACUUGAUGAGGAUUGAAAAAAAAAAAAAAGCCAAAGAGUCAGUCAGUCAGCCAACGUCGUUAUCACGGCUUGGAAACGGA
This 588-nucleotide unclassified non-coding RNA is filed under the name Hevea brasiliensis (rubber tree). Lineage: Eukaryota; Viridiplantae; Streptophyta; Magnoliopsida; Malpighiales; Euphorbiaceae. The record is from RNAcentral.